This 450-nucleotide ribosomal RNA is filed under the name uncultured bacterium. RNAcentral describes it as "partial 16S ribosomal RNA". It matches the Rfam family "Bacterial small subunit ribosomal RNA", at positions 29 to 523 of the family's 1533-position model. The record is from RNAcentral.
AACGAACGCUGGCGGCAGGCUUAACACAUGCAAGUCGAACGAGAUCUUCGGAUCUAGUGGCAGACGGGUGAGGAACACGUGGGAACAUCCCUUUCAGUUCGGAAUAACGUUGGGAAACUAACGCUAAUACCGGAUACGUCCUUCGGGAGAAAGAUUUAUCGCUGAAAGAUUGGCCCGCGUCUGAUUAGCUAGUUGGUGAGGUAAUGGCUCACCAAGGCUACGAUCAGUAGCUGAUCUGAGAGGAUGAUCAGCCACAUUGGGACUGAGACACGGCCCAAACUCCUACGGGAGGCAGCAGUGGGGAAUAUUGGACAAUGGGCGCAAGCCUGAUCCAGCCAUGCCGCGUGAGUGAUGACGGCCUUCGGGUUGUAAACCCCUUUUCUCGGGGAAGAAAUAUGACGGUACUCGAGGAAUAAGUCUUAGCUAACUACGUGCCAGCAGCCGCGGUAA